AAGAACUUAAGAGUUCAAGGUUCUCUGACAACACCUUGCAUAUCUGAGUGUUACAGACAAGCUCAAGAGACCACUUCCAGUGAACACGCCGAUAUUGCUAAUGUUUCUUCUAUUCAGUAGAAAAAUGUGAGCGCUGCUGGCCAGGCCUGGCUGCCUCGAUGCUUUCGCAUGCAGCCUCUUCUCUUUGGACCCUUUGUGGUGACGGACGGGCAGAUCCAGCACAACGCAGAGCAUCUGGUGCGCUCGGGGUCAACAGUUGUUCCGCUCUGUAUCUACUUCCUUCACUAGAUGGGCCAGACAGGAGUGUUACCGUAUAUCGAAUGGGCCGGUAUACCUGUGGAUAGGCGUGUUCUUGCAGGGCAGCACAGGAAGGGUUGCAAGGCGACCUGCUCGCUCUCUGCAAGCUAAGGUGCACAGAAAUCCUCCUGACACCCUCCUCCAGUGACUUCCCAUCUGUCAUCCGCCUGAUGGUCUUCAUGGUCACCGUCAAUGCCUUUUUCUUCUGAUACCCUAGACGCGUCCAUGACCUGUCCCCAAUGCAUUCAGUCUGUGGCGUCCAAAUCCCUCCUGGGUAUCUCACUUCCUUUGAUUCCUCCACCAUCUUUGCUGCACCUUGUAAUGCCUCUUAAUGCCUUUAAUCUCUGCCCUCACUUGCCCAGUGGGUCUUUUUGUUAUUUACCAUCUUUAUUUCUCCCCUAGUCAAGCCAGUCACCACUGCAUGUCUGUCAGCUGGUCUCAAAGCAGUCUCCAUACACCCUUGCAGCCUAACUUGAUCCAUCUAAGAACAUGUAGUGACAGUGAAACAAAGAUUUGGACUCAUCAAGAAUCUGUCUCAAGUUCUGGCAAGGAAACCAUGACCCUAAUGAAUGUUCAAGCCAGCAACCCUCCCCGUGCCCCAGCGCAGGAGGUCUCCAAGAAGGAAGAGCUUCAGCCAAGCUGAUAUGGCCCGUGCCCGGGAUCCUUAGGUUAGCAGGCCUCAGUCGGUCCUGCACUAUCACCCAUCAGCUUCAGGCAAUGACCUUUUUCUUUUGAACUAUCUGCUAGGCUUAAGACCCUAGUCAAUAAAAAUGCUUCAUGAGCUUGCACACCCAAAGUGUGGGUCACUGGGAGCCGGCAGUUUGGCUCCCACUCCGCAAGGCAGGAUUCAGGCCUCUGGAAGAAUUUUUAAUCUCAUUUUCCUUAUCUUCUCUAUGCCAGGAAAAAGUAAUGCCAGGAGCAUGCAGCCCUUUCUGUUCUGAAUCCUCCCAAACUUUCAUGCACUUGAUAGUUUGAUUGCAAUAUUAUUGUAUUCAUAUUACAGCCAAAGCUUUUUUUGUUGGUGGUGGUGGUAGAAAGCAAUUGUUACUGCAGUAGUGAUUGGUGAAAUAUGAAUAGAUAGAGAUGAUCAGUUGGAAAGACAUUUUAUGUAUUUGUGUGUGUCUGUACAAGUAGCAAAUAUGUUCCUGUAUAAAAAUAAA
Long non-coding RNA from Rhea pennata, 1457 nucleotides. RefSeq lists it as uncharacterized. The transcript has 5 exons. The record is from RefSeq and is a predicted model, not a curated record. Lineage: Eukaryota; Metazoa; Chordata; Aves; Rheiformes; Rheidae.